This is a non-coding RNA of Punica granatum (pomegranate), 485 nucleotides long. NCBI's taxonomy places the organism in Eukaryota, Viridiplantae, Streptophyta, Magnoliopsida, Myrtales, Lythraceae. The record is from RefSeq and is a predicted model, not a curated record.
GCGUGGCCUUCACUCUUGUUCCUUCCAAUUCCACCGCCAUUGAAUUUUCCUUUCCUUUUGUUUUGUUUCUUUUCGUUACUUUGUAUUGCUGCUGCCCUGUUUUUCUGCUGGGAAGAAUCGAAAGAAACAGAGAGCAUCAGAGAGAGAGAAGUAAGGUAUAUAGCUAGAGGAGAAUCAAAGGAAACGGUAGAGGAAGGAGACUAAGUUGAAGUUCUUGAUUUGAGCUGAGGAGACCGAAAAUAUACACCCGGAAGGCUCGACUCGUUGAGUUAUCGUUUUGGGGGGGUCUUGAUGAGCUAGGAGCCAGACUAACCGCACAUGAUAUCUUUUUGGACAACGGGGAUCAGUGCGGAGGAUCUUUUUGCAGUAGGGCCCACUCCUAGUAUAAGUAGUAAGUUCUUGUAGAAUGUUAUGAUUAAGUUACGACCUGAAACUUUUGUUUAGUUGGGUUAGUGAUGUGGUUGAGAAAAUAUAUAUAUAUAUAU